This 3634-nucleotide long non-coding RNA is filed under the name Marmota monax (woodchuck). Lineage: Eukaryota; Metazoa; Chordata; Mammalia; Rodentia; Sciuridae. The record is from RNAcentral.
UUUACAAAAGGGCUACUUUUCCCCCUAUAGGUUGGUUUUGCUUAUAUUCUUUUUUUAGUUGUAGAUGAACACAAUACCUUUUGUUUAUUUAUUUUAUGUGGUGCUGAAGAUCGAACCUAGUGCCUCACACGUGCAAGGUAAGCACUCUACCACUGAGCCACAACCCCAGCCUGCUUAUAUUCUGAGAAUAUGUUUCAGAUUUUAUUGGCCUCUCCAUGAGUUUUGCUGGUAUACAGAGUCCUAUUGAUUAGCAACUGUCACACUGCCUGCCUUGUUCAGUAUACCAUUAUACAAUAGCAGGUGUCACCGUCUAUCCUAGCUGGCAACCCAAUGCUGGGUUCACAAAAUCUGACUAUUCCAAUAACUCAAAAAAAAAAUGACAAAGAAAGCAUGCAACCACAGAGAGUUACCUUUUCAAUAUUCCUGAGACAGCUCCGUGUCCUUAAGAGUCCGUGGAAAGAGAGAGAGCCACCAAAAUUCUUUAUUCUUAAAUAAGGAACACACAAAGGGAGGUUCCAUGGAGCAUUCUAUCUCCAAAAGGGCAAAAGGGUAGGAUUACAAAGGAACAGGUGAGUGUAACUCAACCACCACAGGUGAUGCCUGUAUCUGGAGCCACACCUUGCUAUCUGAGCUGGGAUAAUACCCAAGUCACUAUAAAAUGUAGUAAUUGGUCAGAGCCCCAGGGCAUCAGGACUUGAAGGCGUGUUCAUCCAAGGCAGCUCCUGACAAGCAGGGAUAACAAUUCCAUAGUUUAUCAUUUGAUUCUGCUCAAAAAUGUCUAGUGGAUAUUUACAGGGUAGUUGAUUUGGAUUACAUAGUUAGAUUUUUAUAAAAUAAAAAAUUUCUAGUCCUAAAAUUUAAAAAUUACAAAUUUUAAAAUAGUUGAAACCCUAUCUCAUAUUGUGCUAUAUACUUAAUUCUAAAUAUUUAAAUGUAAUCAUGAAAACAUUAAAAAUCUUAGAACAGGAGGCUGGGCUUGUAGCUCAGUGGUAGAGUGCUUUCCCUGAAUGUGGAAGGCACUGGGUUCGAGCCUCAGCACCACAUAAAAAUAAAAUAAAGGCAUUGUAUCCAUCUACAAAUGGAAAAAAAAAAAUCUUAGAACAGGGACUGGGGCUGUAAGUAGUAAGGUGCUUGCCUAGCACGUAUGAGGCACUAGGUUUGAUUCUCAGCACCACAUAAAUAAAUAAAUAAAUAAAUAAAUAAAUAAAUAAAUAAAUAAAUAAAAUAAAGGUAUUCUGUCCAUCUACAACUAAAAUAUAAAAAUAAUUAUCCCAACUUAUUAAAAAAUAACAUUAAAAAAUAAAGGUAUUGGGGCUGGGAUUGUGGCUCAUGUGGUAGAGUGCUUGCCUCUAGCAUGUGUGAGGUACUAGGUUCGAUCCUCAGCACCACAUAAAAAUAAAAUAAAGAUAUUGUAUCCACCUAAGACUGACUAAAUAAAUAAAUAUUUUUUUAGAAAGGUAUUGUGUCGGGCUGGGGAUGUGGCUCAAGCGGUAGCGUUCUCGCCUGGCAUGCGUGCGGCCCGGGUUCGAUCCUCAGCGCCACAUACAAACAAAGAUGUUGUGUCCGCCAAAUACUAAAAAAAAAAUAUUAAAAAAUCUCAACCACAUAAAAACUAUAGCUAGCUGAGAGUGGCAGGGCAUGCCUGUAAUCCCAAGGGCUCAGGAGGCUGAGGUAGGACUGAAAGUUCAGUGCCAGCCUCAGAAAUUUAAUGAGGCUAAGCCACUUAGUAGACCUUGUCUCUAAAUAAAAAAAAGAGCUGGGGAUGUGGCUCAGUGGUUAAGUGCCCAUAGGUUCAAUCACCAGUAACGCCACCUCCCCCCCAAAAAAAACAUACUAUAGCUAAAGAUAUUAUUAAUCAAAUCAGUGGACAAAAAAUAUAUUUAAAAAAAAGUGUCAGGAGUGGUGGCACAUAUGACUUGGUAGGCUUAGGCAGGAAGAUCUGAAGUUCCACACCAGCCUCAGCAAUUUAGUGAGGCCCCAAUCAACUUAGUAAGACCCUGUCUCAAAAAAAAAAAAAAAUGCGGGUGGGUAGGUAGGGCUGAAGAUGUAGUUCAGUGGUAAAAAUGUAGUUCUGGGUUCAAUCCCCAGUAUCCCCCUCAGAAUUCUUACAAACUAGAACUUUUUAAAAAUAUUUUUUAGUUUUAGGCAGAUACAAUAUCUUUAGUCUACAUUUAUGUGGUGCUGAGGAACGAACCCAGUGCCUCUGCAUGCUAGGUGAGCACUCUACCACUGAGCCACGACCCCAGCCCCAAACUAGAAUUUUUUUCAAAAUAAGCAUAAGGAAUAUGAACUUAUAAAAUAAUUAGACCUAUAUUAGUUGGUUAGGCAGGAUUUUUGCAGGAAAAUCACAAGUUUGAGGCCGACAGGAGCAAUUUAUCAAGACCCCCCUCUCAACAAUAAAAUUUAAAAAAGGGCUGGGGAUAUCAGUGGUAAAGUGCUCCUGGUUCAAUCCCCAGUACCCGCCCCCAAAUUCCAUUUUUUUUAGUUAAUUAUUUUUUAUUUGUUCUAAUUAGUUACCAAAUUCCAUUUUUGUACAAGACUUAAUGAUGUCUCCCCCUCCCAUGUAUGUAUGUGUGUGUGUUUUAUUUUUAUGUGGGACAGUUAGGAAGAGGUAAGAAAGAAAGGUAAGGGAAAGAACCUGGAAGGGAUUGAGGUAUAAUGCAAGUGGGAAAAAGAAGGGGAAAGAAAGAAAAGCAUUAGUUCUCAAUCUCAGACAAUGCAUCAGCUAAUUUUUGGAAAAAAUAAAAUCUGUAUGUAUGUGUAAACAAACUGUUAUAUAUGUAUGUGUGUAUGCAUAUACUUUAUAAUGGUGUACAUAUAGUUGGGUCCCUUAAGAGGACAGAAUGGAUGGGAGAGUCUGCCUUUACCAUAUCUUUGCAUUUUAUUGUUUCACUUGCUAGAACAAUAUAGCAUUUGUUGAAAACCAUCAAAUUUUAAAGUUAUGUAAAACAAUAUAAUCUAAUUUUGUUUAUAUCCUGGUCUUUCCAAAUUGCUUGGAAGCACCAUAUGCCUGUAGCUGUCCUCCUGACAUCUGACAUGCCAACUGCAACAAGGAGUAAAAAGUUUCCAGUUAACUCAUUUUUAUAAUACAAGCUUUUAUUCCUGGCAUUUGGAGUUCUCUGCCUUGGUUUUCCUGUCACUUCCCAACCUUGUUUUUUGUUUUUGCUUGAUCCCCUGCACCAGUACUGUGAAUUGAACCACCCAGGGCCUUUAAGAUAUUAGGUAAGAACUCUACCACUGAGCUACCUUCCCAGCCCUUUUUAAAAUUUUGAAAUUGGAUCUCAUUAAAUUGUCCAGGCUGGCCUUGAACUUGUGAUUCUCUUGCCUUCUAAAUAGCUGGGAUUAUACUUCUGUGCCACCCUAUCUAGCAAAAGAGAAAAGGGGACUGGCCAGUGUGGUGGCAUACACCUGUAAUCCCAGCAGCUGGGGAGGCUGAGACAGGAGGAUCAUGAGUUCAAAGACAGCCUCAGCAACUUAUCGAGGUACUAAGCAACUCAGUGAGACCCUGUCUCUAAAUAAAAUGCAAAAUGGGUGGCUGGGGAGAUAGCUCAGUUGGUAGAGUGCUUGCCUCUUGCAUAACGCCUUGAGUUCAAUCCCCAGCACCACCAAAAAAAACGGAAAAUGUUCUCUGAAC